UGAGGAAUAUUGGUCAAUGGGCGAGAGCCUGAACCAGCCACGUCGCGUGAAGGAAGACUCACCUUACGGUUUGUAAACUUUUUUUGUAGAGGGGUAAUGGCAGAUACGUGUAUUUGCGUGAAAGUACUCUACGAAUAAGCAUCGGCUAACUCCGUGCCAGCAGCCGCGGUAAUACGUAUGUUGCGAGCGUUAUCCGGAAUUAUUGGGCUUAAAGGGUAUCUAGGCGGUAAGACAAGUUGAAGGUGAAAACCUGUGGCUCAACCAUAGGAUUGCCUACAAAACUGUUGAACUAGAGUACUGGAAAGGUGGGAGGAAGUACACGAGGAGAGGUGAAAUUAGUAGAUAUGUGUAGGAAUGCCGAAGAUGAAGAUAACUCACUGGACAGAAACUGACGCUGAAGUGCGAAAGCUGGGGGGGCAAACAGG
RNAcentral lists this ribosomal RNA (425 nucleotides) under Verrucomicrobiota bacterium. RNAcentral describes it as "Verrucomicrobia bacterium partial 16S ribosomal RNA". It matches the Rfam family "Bacterial small subunit ribosomal RNA", at positions 355 to 776 of the family's 1533-position model. Lineage: Bacteria; Pseudomonadati; Verrucomicrobiota. The record is from RNAcentral.